This 252-nucleotide ribosomal RNA is filed under the name uncultured bacterium. RNAcentral describes it as "partial 16S ribosomal RNA". It matches the Rfam family "Bacterial small subunit ribosomal RNA", at positions 524 to 776 of the family's 1533-position model. The record is from RNAcentral.
UACGUAGGUGGCGAGCGUUAUCCGAAAUGAUUGGGCGUAAAGGGUGCGUAGGCGGCCUGCUAAGUCUGGAGUGAAAGGUACCGGCUCAACCGGUACAGGCUCUGGAAACUGGCGGGCUAGAGAGCAGGAGAGGGCGGUGGAACUCCAUGUGUAGCGGUAAAAUGCGUAGAUAUAUGGAGGAACACCAGUGGCGAAGGCGGCUUCCUGGUCUGCAACUGACACUGAGGCGCGAAAGCGUGGGGAGCAAACAGG